GACGAACGCUGGCGGCGUGCCUAAUACAUGCAAGUCGAACGCUUCUUUUUCCACCGGAGCUUGCUCCACCGGAAAAAGAGGAGUGGCGAACGGGUGAGUAACACGUGGGUAACCUGCCCAUCAGAAGGGGAUAACACUUGGAAACAGGUGCUAAUACCGUAUAACAAUCGAAACCGCAUGGUUUUGAUUUGAAAGGCGCUUUCGGGUGUCGCUGAUGGAUGGACCAGCUGUGCAUUAGCUAGUUGGUGAGGUAACGGCUCACCAAGGCCACGAUGCAUAGCCGACCUGAGAGGGUGAUCGGCCACAUUGGGACUGAGACACGGCCCAAACUCCUACGGGAGGCAGCAGUAGGGAAUCUUCGGCAAUGGACGAAAGUCUGACUGAGCAACGCCGCGUGAGUGAAGAAGGUUUUCGGAUCGUAAAACUCUGUUGUUAGAGAAGAACAAGGAUGAGAGUAACUGUUCAUCCCUUGACGGUAUCUAACCAGAAAGCCACGGCUAACUACGUGCCAGCCGCCGCAGUAA
This 524-nucleotide ribosomal RNA is filed under the name uncultured bacterium. RNAcentral's name for it is "partial 16S ribosomal RNA". It matches the Rfam family "Bacterial small subunit ribosomal RNA", at positions 28 to 523 of the family's 1533-position model. The record is from RNAcentral.